GCAAUCUGGAAAAAAUGUCCAGGCAACAGUCAUUCCCAUUCCAGGUUUCCAGGCAACAAUCAUUCCAAUUCCAGGUGCUCAAUAAAGCUUAAGGUGUGACUACUUAGAAACUCAUUUGCAAAGUACACAUGACCAAGACGGCGGGUUCUAAAGCCUGAUCAACUUCCUUCAGUCUGUCUUCAAGUUGAAAGACUCCUCUGUCACCCCAUAUGAGAACACUUGAAAUCAGAACCAGAUACCUGUCAUCCAAAAGUCAGUAUUUGGAGGGGCUGGAGAGAUGGCUCGGCAAUAGUGGUCAUUACAGAUAUGAAGUAGCAAUGAAAUAAUUUCAUGGAACUGUAGGCAUGCACCACCACACCAAACUCCCAAAAAGAACCACAGCUGUAAAUGCGAAAGAGAAACCAGCGCUACUUCUCAAAGAAGAAAAGAAUCUCUCUUCAGCUCAGAGGAGAACAAGACAUGUUUCAUUAAUAUUUAAAGCUAGCAAAGAUGCUUGAGCUGAAAAGGAGAGCUUGGAUCAUCAGCGAAACGACUAGAGACAGUAACAGUAAACUUUUGCCAUUUUAAGACU
Molecule: long non-coding RNA, 571 nt
Organism: Mastomys coucha (southern multimammate mouse)
Lineage: Eukaryota; Metazoa; Chordata; Mammalia; Rodentia; Muridae
Exons: 4
Source: RefSeq, a predicted model, not a curated record